UAGCUCAGGUGGUUAGAGCAUCACGUUGACAUCGUGGGGGUCGUUGGUUCGAGUCCA
RNAcentral lists this transfer RNA (57 nucleotides) under Sutterella sp. RNAcentral describes it as "tRNA-Val". It matches the Rfam family "tRNA", at positions 8 to 61 of the family's 71-position model. Rfam says of the family: Transfer RNA (tRNA) molecules are approximately 80 nucleotides in length. Their secondary structure includes four short double-helical elements and three loops (D, anti-codon, and T loops). Lineage: Bacteria; Pseudomonadati; Pseudomonadota; Betaproteobacteria; Burkholderiales; Sutterellaceae. The record is from RNAcentral.